AGCUGUCAACCAGGCUUUGAUCCGGGGGUUUCCGAAUGGGGAAACCCGGCAGUCGUCAUGGGCUGUCACCCGCUGCUGAACACAUAGGCAGUGUGGAGGGAACGAGGGGA
This 110-nucleotide ribosomal RNA is filed under the name Streptomyces sp. FT05W. Its description in RNAcentral is "partial 23S ribosomal RNA". It matches the Rfam family "Bacterial large subunit ribosomal RNA", at positions 84 to 191 of the family's 2925-position model. The record is from RNAcentral. Lineage: Bacteria; Bacillati; Actinomycetota; Actinomycetes; Kitasatosporales; Streptomycetaceae.